This 94-nucleotide small nucleolar RNA is filed under the name Paraphaeosphaeria minitans. RNAcentral describes it as "Paraconiothyrium minitans A. fumigatus snoRNA Afu_455". It matches the Rfam family "A. fumigatus snoRNA Afu_455". Lineage: Eukaryota; Fungi; Ascomycota; Dothideomycetes; Pleosporales; Didymosphaeriaceae. RNAcentral also lists the same sequence under 1 other name. The record is from Rfam by way of RNAcentral.
CACAGUGAUGAUACUGUGACACCGGAAAGGCAUUCCUCGACCUGAAUAUACGAUGUCGAUUUUGUCAAAACUUAAGUUUCAGCCUUGUCUGAUU